Molecule: small nucleolar RNA, 72 nt
Organism: Papaver somniferum (opium poppy)
Lineage: Eukaryota; Viridiplantae; Streptophyta; Magnoliopsida; Ranunculales; Papaveraceae
Product: small nucleolar RNA snoR60
Exons: 1
Source: RefSeq, a predicted model, not a curated record
CAGCAUAUGAUAAGAUGUACUCGGGUUCCCCUUCUUACAUUACGGGUGAUGUAAAAUCAAGUUUCUGGUGCU